Molecule: non-coding RNA, 29 nt
Filed under: Cricetulus griseus (Chinese hamster)
Lineage: Eukaryota; Metazoa; Chordata; Mammalia; Rodentia; Cricetidae
Source: RNAcentral
CCUGAAUGUCACUAGUAAGCAGAUCGCAA